Molecule: ribosomal RNA, 253 nt
Filed under: uncultured bacterium
Lineage: Bacteria
Description: partial 16S ribosomal RNA
Rfam family: Bacterial small subunit ribosomal RNA
Source: RNAcentral
UACGGGGGGGGCAAGCGUUGUUCGGAAUUACUGGGCGUAAAGGGCUCGUAGGUGGCCAACUAAGUCAUACGUGAAAUCCCUCGGCUUAACCGGGGAACUGCGCCUGAUACUGGUUGGCUUGAGUUUGGGAGAGGGACGCGGAAUUCCAGGUGUAGCGGUGAAAUGCGUAGAUAUCAUCUGGAACGCCAAUGGUGCAGACAAGCUGCUGGGGGUGUACUGACGCUGAGGCACGAAAGCCAGGGGAGCAAACGGG